UGGUGGAGUGAUUUGUCUGGUUAAUCCCGUUAACGAACGAGACCUUAACCUGCUAAAUAGCUACGCGUAGCUUCGGUUACGUGGGCAACUUCUUAGAGGGACGUUGCGUGUCUAACGCAAGGCAGUUUGAGGCAAUAACA
RNAcentral lists this ribosomal RNA (140 nucleotides) under uncultured eukaryote. RNAcentral describes it as "partial 18S ribosomal RNA". It matches the Rfam family "Eukaryotic small subunit ribosomal RNA", at positions 1299 to 1458 of the family's 1831-position model. The record is from RNAcentral.